Balaenoptera musculus (blue whale) is the source of this 1334-nucleotide long non-coding RNA. RefSeq lists it as uncharacterized. The transcript is spliced from 3 exons. The record is from RefSeq and is a predicted model, not a curated record. NCBI's taxonomy places the organism in Eukaryota, Metazoa, Chordata, Mammalia, Artiodactyla, Balaenopteridae.
GCGUUUUCCGGGAGUGGGGCGUCGGGUCUGGGUCGGGGUGCGGGCUCUUCGCUCUUGUUCGCUCGGAGCUGUCCUCGCUUGGGCUCCUCUCUCUCCUGGGCUUUAAAAGCACCGGGGAGGUGUGCCGAGGAAGCCUCUGGUUCUCCGCGAGAGAAGCGAAGCCGGCGGUCGGGGCGUAGCCGCGUGCCCGGGUCCGCUCGGAGGCUCGCUUUGCCCCUGGAUGCUCCUGGUUACCUCCAGGGCAAGUUCAGCCUGGGUCUGAGGCCUCGUGGCGCUCGUGCUGUUUUUCUGAUAAUUCGAGUGAUUGAACGUCUCAGUGAGGUCUUAAUGGCCGACCCUAGCUUUUAAGCCUCCGCUGUUCAUCCAGAUCACAGUAUGGCUCAGAGAAAGAAAUGCUGUGCUUUUUUCUUAGAUUGUGUACGGAUUUGUUUCUCUUAAAAACAAAAUCUGGUUUCGCAGAAAAUGUGUAAACGCAAAGGAUGACCAAGGAGGGCAUUCAUACUCGAAUUUUCAAACGGAGAAUGUUUUAAUGCAACUAGCAAACAACUGGGUUCCUUUCUUCUCGCUCUCUUUUCCAUUGACUUUACCUUCCUUGCUAUCUGCCGUGUUCUAAAUGCUUGGAAAGCCUCGAGCAACUAAUAAAAUUAGGGAGCUUUGAGAAAAUGUAACAGUUUUGAUUUCUCUUCUCUUUAAGGGUAUUUAAAUUUAAGUCCGUGAGAUUCUGUGGGGAUAAUGGUCUUAAAAUGAGCACAUUAGUACUGGCUGUUGCCAGGCACUGUUCUGAGGGCUUUACAAAUAAUUACUCAUUUAAUCCUCACAACAGUCCCACUAGGAGAAUAGUAUUAUCCCCCUUUUAAAGACGGCGGGCGAAAUAGCGUUUAUGGUGAAGUAAAUGCAACCGCUGGAAUCCAGACCCUAAUGAGGCAGAGUCUGUUCUUAACCACUGUCUGUACUAAAGGUGAUUUAAAACAGAUUCAUCUUGAGGAUAAAUGAGGCUCUCUAAAACAAGAUGCAAUACUAAUCAAAAGAUAUUGACAGGCUCUGUUCUUUGCCUUGUUGCUGGAUAUCGGAUGCUGAGGUCUGAGACUCAUGGACUCGUGGUUAGUUCUGUCAGCUUAGUCCAUCUCCAGUGGUUCGCUGUUGCCAGCUUGGACCCAUCCUACACAUGAUGGCAUCAUGCAUCCCUCUUGGGAUCUAGCUGCAACUCCCAGGAGAUUUUCAUUGUGGGUGGUCCACUACUUCCCCCCAGUUGGCAAUCUCCUGGCUACUUUGCUGUCUGUCUUCCUUGGCAUCAAGAAGAAUCCAGAAACAUCUGGAUUCUUUUCAAGAACACA